UAUACGCUGCAUGAGAGCUGUCU
RNAcentral lists this microRNA (23 nucleotides) under Gallus gallus (chicken). RNAcentral's name for it is "microRNA Ros-gga". Lineage: Eukaryota; Metazoa; Chordata; Aves; Galliformes; Phasianidae. The record is from RNAcentral.